GGGCGUAUAGCUCAGCUGGGAGAGCGCUGCAGUCACAUUGCAGAGGUCACAGGUUCGAUCCCUGUUACGCCCACCA
This 76-nucleotide transfer RNA is filed under the name endosymbiont of Seepiophila jonesi. RNAcentral's name for it is "tRNA-Val". It matches the Rfam family "tRNA". Rfam says of the family: Transfer RNA (tRNA) molecules are approximately 80 nucleotides in length. Their secondary structure includes four short double-helical elements and three loops (D, anti-codon, and T loops). Lineage: Bacteria; Pseudomonadati; Pseudomonadota; Gammaproteobacteria. The record is from RNAcentral. RNAcentral also lists the same sequence under 8 other names.